Molecule: ribosomal RNA, 465 nt
Filed under: Vreelandella stevensii
Lineage: Bacteria; Pseudomonadati; Pseudomonadota; Gammaproteobacteria; Oceanospirillales; Halomonadaceae
Description: partial 16S ribosomal RNA
Rfam family: Bacterial small subunit ribosomal RNA
Source: RNAcentral
CCUACGGGUGGCAGCAGUGGGGAAUAUUGGACAAUGGGCGAAAGCCUGAUCCAGCCAUGCCGCGUGUGUGAAGAAGGCCUUCGGGUUGUAAAGCACUUUCAGUGGGGAAGAAAGCCUUGGGGCUAAUACCCUCGAGGAAGGACAUCACCCACAGAAGAAGCACCGGCUAACUCCGUGCCAGCAGCCGCGGUAAUACGGAGGGUGCGAGCGUUAAUCGGAAUUACUGGGCGUAAAGCGCGCGUAGGCGGUCUGAUAAGCCGGUUGUGAAAGCCCCGGGCUCAACCUGGGAACGGCAUCCGGAACUGUCAGGCUAGAGUGCAGGAGAGGAAGGUAGAAUUCCCUGUGUAGCGGUGAAAUGCGUAGAGAUCGGGAGGAAUACCAGUGGCGAAGGCGGCCUUCUGGACUGACACUGACGCUGAGGUGCGAAAGCGUGGGUAGCAAACAGGAUUAGAUACCCCGGUAGUC